This 491-nucleotide ribosomal RNA is filed under the name uncultured bacterium. RNAcentral's name for it is "partial 16S ribosomal RNA". It matches the Rfam family "Bacterial small subunit ribosomal RNA", at positions 29 to 507 of the family's 1533-position model. The record is from RNAcentral.
AGUGAACGCUGGCGGUAGGCCUAACACAUGCAAGUCGAACGGCAGCACAGUAAGAGCUUGCUCUUACGGGUGGCGAGUGGCGGACGGGCGAGGAAUACAUCGGAAUCUACUUUUUCGUGGGGAUAACGUAGGGAAACUUACGCUAAUACCGCAUACGACCUACGGGUGAAAGCAGGGGAUCUUCGGACCUUGCGCGAUUGAAUGAGCCGAUGUCGGAUUAGCUAGUUGGCGGGGUAAAGGCCCACCAAGGCGACGAUCCGUAGCUGGUCUGAGAGGAUGAUCAGCCACACUGGAACUGAGACACGGUCCAGACUCCUACGGGAGGCAGCAGUGGGGAAUAUUGGACAAUGGGCGCAAGCCUGAUCCAGCCAUACCGCGUGGGUGAAGAAGGCCUUCGGGUUGUAAAGCCCUUUUGUUGGGAAAGAAAAGCAGCAGGUUAAUACCCCGCUGUUCUGACGGUACCCAAAGAAUAAGCACCGGCUAACUUCGUG